UACGUAGGGACCAAGCGUUGUUCGGAUUUACUGGGCUUAAAGGGCGCGUAGGCGGGGGAGCAAGUCCGGGGUGAAAUCGUUCGGCUCAACCGAACCACUGCCUCGGAUACUGCUCCUCUCGAGGGAGGUAGGGGCAGCUGGAACUUCCGGUGGAGCGGUGAAAUGCGUUGAUAUCGGAAGGAACGCCGGUGGCGAAAGCGAGCUGCUGGACCUCUUCUGACGCUGAGGCGCGAAAGCCAGGGGAGCAAACGGG
This 253-nucleotide ribosomal RNA is filed under the name uncultured bacterium. Its description in RNAcentral is "partial 16S ribosomal RNA". It matches the Rfam family "Bacterial small subunit ribosomal RNA", at positions 524 to 776 of the family's 1533-position model. The record is from RNAcentral.